GCAAAAGCUUGGACUGAGAGUAGGAGGAAGGAAGUUGCUUGUUAUUUUGAAUAAGCAAGCUUCAUGAAUAAAAUGCUGACCUACUGUCUGCUCUCCACACUGCUACACUGGUUAGCACACUGUAAUUGCAAAACACUUUGCUAGAGCCUUUUGCCGAAUUUCCCUCAAAAGAGGCAAGUUUUGAUUUUUUUUUUUUUUUGUCAAGCAUAUACCCUCCGAUUUAGCUGUUCACCAUCUUUGUAAUCUACUGGGACUGUGAUGUAACCUCUGGCAUCUAAGAUUCUUCAGGCUUGUUAAUAACCACCAGCUACAGCUGAGAGAAAAGCAAGAAUGCAAGGUUUGGAUAGAUAAUGGCAGUGGAAGGAAGGAGCUGGGAAGAUAAUUAAAACAAUGACAUUCUAAGGUAGCUGAAGUUUCCCUUUUAUUGAAAAUAUUUGAGAAUCUUUAGGAUCUCCAAUUUUCUGCUCUCAGUAAUUUUUCUCAACAAAUUAUUCCACUACUGCCUCACGGAAGCAUAAACCACUGUCUCCAGUGCUUGGAGAAAUCACAAAAUUUCAAAAAACAGCCACAAUCAUUGUUUUCAAAAAAUGUAUGUUAAAAUUAAUUUAUAGUUAAGUUUACUUUUUACCCUUUAUAUCAGAAGAGGCCAUUUAUUAUUUAUUUAUUUCAGAAUUAUUUCUUUCCUAUUUUUAUUGUAUGUAUUUAUCAUGUACAACAUGAUGUUUUGAAGUAAGUAUACAUUGUGGAAUGGCUAAAUCAAGCUAAGCAUAUGCAUUACCUCACAUACUUAUCUUUUUUUUGUGGUGAGAACACUUAACAUCUACUCUCAUGUUUGAGUUCCUUAUGUAUGUUAGAUAUUAACUCCUUAUCAGAUAUAGUUUGAAAAUACUUUCUACCUUUUGUUGUCUGUGUUGGCAAUUUUCAAGAAUACAAUACAUUGUUAUUAACUAUAGUCAUCACAUUGUACAAUCGGGUCUCUUGAAUUUAUUCCUUCUGUCUAACUGAAAUUUUGUAUCCUUUGACCAACAUCUCUCUAAUCCCAUUCUACUCUCUACAUCUAUGAGUUCAGCUUUGUCUAUUAUACACACAAGUGAGAUCGUGUAGUGUUUGCCUUUCUCUUCCUGGCUUAUUUCAAUCCUGCAGUUCCAUCCAUGUUGUCACAAAUGAUAAGAUUUUCUUCUUUAUAAAGGCUGUAUAGUUCUUCAUCAUGUAGAUGCACCACAUUUUAAAAAAUCCUUUCAUCCAUUGGUGGACACUGAGAUUAUUUCCAUAUCUUGGUUUGGAACAGGAAUUAAAGGAAAUUAAAGAAUGUGUAAG
RNAcentral lists this long non-coding RNA (1317 nucleotides) under Homo sapiens (human). RNAcentral describes it as "non-protein coding lnc-OCA2-5:1". The record is from RNAcentral. Lineage: Eukaryota; Metazoa; Chordata; Mammalia; Primates; Hominidae.